CGGCGGGAACCGUGGCUCCGCAGGUGUUCGCGGCUCGAAUCAGCCUUCUACGUUGAGGAAGCUUCUGGGACGUGCAGCACCUCUACAAUGGAAACGAGAUCUUCAUCAUCAGCUUCAGAUGUGUUCUUGGAACCCUGAGUUCACCUCACCUUGGCAGUGGUCUGCAAGUUAAUCCUGUGAAGCGACCUCACACAGCCCCUCUGGGGAAGUCUUGCGGCGCCCAUGCCAAAGAAAGAACACCUCAGCAUGUUCAUCCACCUUCCGUUGGCCUCGGGAACUCCUGGAGGGAAAGCUAGCUCCAAGCAGGAAAGAAGAGGGAAGAACUCUGAAGGACACAGAUCAUCCCAGCCUACAGUCCAGACAAUAUUUGAAGGAGAGCCACGCCUUGCCCUUCGCAUUCUCCACGGAGCCUUCACUGCCAAAACACUGAGGAAAGGCCUUGGUAGCUGUGUGUCACUCUGGACUCUGUGGUACAAGGAGAUGGCUCUGACCGUUUGCCGCUGAGGAUGAAGUUCUCCUUUUCCAGAUGGUUUUCACACAGGGUGGUAGGGGAUUUCAUAUUGCUUCAUCUUCUACCCUAGCCCUGACCCUCACCACCAGGCAGCCCAGCCAUAUUAGCUGAGAAAUCCAUACAGGGGCAGGAGCCCCUGUUCCCUCCCCUCUGCUAAA
RNAcentral lists this long non-coding RNA (669 nucleotides) under Rattus norvegicus (Norway rat). RNAcentral's name for it is "uncharacterized LOC100910802". Lineage: Eukaryota; Metazoa; Chordata; Mammalia; Rodentia; Muridae. The record is from RNAcentral.